Transfer RNA from Metschnikowia bicuspidata var. bicuspidata NRRL YB-4993, 73 nucleotides. It matches the Rfam family "tRNA". Rfam says of the family: Transfer RNA (tRNA) molecules are approximately 80 nucleotides in length. NCBI's taxonomy places the organism in Eukaryota, Fungi, Ascomycota, Pichiomycetes, Serinales, Metschnikowiaceae. The record is from Rfam.
GGGCGUGUGGCGCAGUUGGUAGCGCGUCUGCUUUGCAUGCAGAAGGUCAUUGGUUCGAAUCCGAUCUCGUCCA